Molecule: ribosomal RNA, 2150 nt
Filed under: Austroniscus sp. 1 MR-2008
Lineage: Eukaryota; Metazoa; Arthropoda; Malacostraca; Isopoda; Nannoniscidae
Description: SSU rRNA
Rfam family: Eukaryotic small subunit ribosomal RNA
Source: RNAcentral
CUGGUUGAUCCUGCCAGUAGUUAUAUGCUUGUCUCAAAGAUUAAGCCAUGCAUGUCUGAGUACAGACCGAUCUAAGGUGAAACCGCGAAUGGCUCAUUAAAUCAGUCAUAAUUCCUUGGGUAGUGAAAAACUUUCCUCGGAUAACUGUGGAAAAUCCAGAGCUAAUACGUGCAACUGAGCUCCGACCUCGGCGUCAGCUGUGGGAAGAGCGCAUUUAUUAGAUUCAAAACUGACCGGUGUACUCCUUCGGGAUAUGCCGUUUGUCAAAUGUUUGAUGACUCCGGAUAACUAAGCCGAGCGCUACGGUCUUUAGUACCGGCGCCGUAUCUUUCAAGUGUCUGCCUUAUCAGCUUUCGAUUGUAGGUUAAACGCCUACAAUGGCUGUAACGGGUAACGGGGAAUCAGGGUUCGAUUCCGGAGAGGGAGCCUGAGAAACGGCUACCACAUCUAAGGAAGGCAGCAGGCACGCAAAUUACCCACUCCUAGCCCAGGGAGGUAGUGACGAAAAAUAACGAUGCGAGACUCUUCCGAGGCCUCGCAAUCGGAAUGAGUCUAUUAUAAAUUUAUGGACGAGGAUCCAUUGGAGGGCAAGUCUGGUGCCAGCAGCCGCGGUAAUUCCAGCUCCAAUAGCGUAUAUUAAAGUUGCUGCGGUUAAAAAGCUCGUAGUUGGACUUACUAGACCAUUUCGUGGGCGAGUCGCUCUUUGUACUAACGUUUCGUGCGGUUCCUAGAUGAAGUCGUGGUGCGUUAUCUCUCUUUCGGUUUCUAUCGAUUGGGAGGUUUCCCCGCGCACAGAAUCUUGUGAACGGCGAUUCGUUGUCAUAGGGUAUAGCUUGUCCGCGUUUGGUACAAUUAAAAUUUUGUCGGCUCGCUCGGAGUGCUCUUUACCGAGUGUUCCAGGGUGGCCGACACGUUCACUUUGAAAAAAUUAGAGUGCUUAAAGCGGGCCUUGCAAAGGGCCGGAAUGUCUGUGCAUGGAAUGAAGUAACAGGACCUCGAUUCUGUUGUUUUUUGUCGGUUUUAAUGAACCGAGGUAAUGAUUAAAAGGGACAGACGGUGGCAUUAGUAUUGAGACGCUAGAGGUGAAAUUCUUGGACCGUCUCAAGACUAACUACUGCGAAAGCAUUUGCCGAGAAUGUUUUCAUUAAUCAAGAACGAAAGUUAGAGGAUCGAAGGCGAUCAGAUACCGCCCUAGUUCUAACCCUAAACUAUGCUAACUAGCGAUCCGCCGGAGUCAUUCCCACGACCCGGCGGGAAGCCCCAGGGAAACCAAAGUCUUUGAGUUCCGGGGGAAGUAUGGUUGCAAAGCUGAAACUUAAAGGAAUUGACGGAAGGGCACCACCAGGAGUGGACCUGCGGCUUAAUUUGACUCAACACGGGAAACCUCACCAGGCCCGGACGUCAUAAGGAUUGACAGGUUGAGAGCUCUUUCUCGAUUUGAUGGGUGGUGGUGCAUGGCCGUUCUUAGUUGGUGGAGUGAUCUGUCUGGUUGAUUCCGAUAACGAACGAGACUCUACCUUACUAACUAGUCGGCGGAUCGUAACCCUGAGAUGGUUAGUUUGUAUAGGAGAGUUUUGAUUAGAUAUUGUUUUUUCUCGAUCGAUGGGUGUUAUCUGGGCUAUAUCCGUUUUAAAGCGGUGAAUACAGUGGCGCCUUUUUGGUUGGGGGACUUUGUCGAAGCUGCUUUCUGAUUACUACUACUACUGCUGGGGGCGUCCGUCGCAAUAUAUCUUCUUAGAAGGAUCAACGGCGUAUAGCCGUACGAGAAAGAGCAAUAACAGGUCUGUGAUGCCCUUAGAUGUUCUGGGCCGCACGCGCGCUACAAUGUAAGGACCAACGUGCUUUCCCCCUCCGAAAGGAGCGGGUAACCAGUUGAAAGCCCUACCCGAUUGGGAUUGGGGAUUGCAAAUAUUUCCCAUAAACGAGGAAUUCCCAGUAAGCGUGAGUCAACAACUCGCGCUGAUUACGUCCCUGCCCUUUGUACACACCGCCCGUCGCUACUACCGAUUGAAUGAUUCAGUGAGGGCAUCGGACUGGCGCCUUCGGUUUUGAAACAUAGACCUUAGGCUGACGGAAAGAUGUCCGAACUCGAUCAUUUAGAGGAAGUAAAAGUCGUAACAAGGUUUCCGUAGGUGAAACCUGCGGAAGGG